UUUCCGUAGGUGAACCUGCGGCCCCUUCCUUGUGGUGGUGGAGCAAUCGAGCGAAAGCACGUGAGCUUUGGCCCCCAAGAAACAAAACCCAGGCGCAAUUCGCGCCAAGGAAAACUUUAAACUCAAGGGCGUGCUCUCCUCACAUUGCCCCCAUUUGCGGGUGCGCGACUGGGUGUUUGCCCGCUCCUUAGUGAAAACACAAAUGACUCUCGGCAACGGAUAUCUCGAGUCUC
RNAcentral lists this unclassified non-coding RNA (233 nucleotides) under soil metagenome. RNAcentral's name for it is "partial internal transcribed spacer 1". The record is from RNAcentral.